UCCUACGAAAAAUGGUCAACCUCUUUCCUCUUCUUACGAUUUCUUCCUGCUCUCUCUGACUGCCGUUCUCUCCUAAAUUACCACCCUUCAAUCACCCAUCAACCAUUCAAUUAGCCAUCAGCCCAUUUGGGUGGUUAUUCUGAUAAUCUCAUAAGAUUUAUAGAACGAGGAAGCAAAUGGUACCUAUGUGAAGGAGAUGGGUGGAAGUAGUAAACCUUCAGAUCUAAUAAAGGGAUACAAGCAAUUAGUAGAGAGGAAGAAAGGGUUUGUUGAUUGGGCAAACUUGAUAAACAAUCAUGCAGUAACUCAAGAAAAAAAGAGGGGAAGUUUACUCAGGAAGAAGUAAAAAAAAAAAAAAAACACCUGCAUGUAUAGACUUCAAGAUUUAUGUUCGUCACUUGGUCUUUCGAGGAUAAAUGCAAGUUUAGUGUUUUUGAGGGAAGGUUGUGAUAGUAUGUGGCAUGGCUCUCAAAUUUUUUUAUCAUAUUUUUUAUUUGCUUGUUUAAUCAUGUGGCUUUAGCAAAUACUAGUAAAGAGUUGCCUAUACAAUAAUACUUAUUUAUUAAAUUGGUUACCAAACAA
Long non-coding RNA from Olea europaea var. sylvestris, 582 nucleotides. RefSeq lists it as uncharacterized. The transcript is spliced from 2 exons. Lineage: Eukaryota; Viridiplantae; Streptophyta; Magnoliopsida; Lamiales; Oleaceae. The record is from RefSeq and is a predicted model, not a curated record.